AUACAUGCAGUCGAGCGGACGGAUGGGAGCUUGCUCCCUGAAGUCAGCGGCGGACGGGUGAGUAACACGUGGGCAACCUGCCUGUAAGACUGGGAUAACUUCGGGAAACCGGAGCUAAUACCGGAUAAUGCACAGCCUCUCAUGAGGCUAUGCUGAAAGAUGGUUUCGGCUAUCACUUACAGAUGGGCCCGCGGCGCAUUAGCUAGUUGGUGAGGUAACGGCUCACCAAGGCAACGAUGCGUAGCCGACCUGAGAGGGUGAUCGGCCACACUGGGACUGAGACACGGCCCAGACUCCUACGGGAGGCAGCAGUAGGGAAUCUUCCGCAAUGGACGAAAGUCUGACGGAGCAACGCCGCGUGAGUGAUGAAGGUUUUCGGAUCGUAAAACUCUGUUGUCAGGGAAGAACAAGUGCCGGAGUAACUGCCGGCACCUUGACGGUACCUGACCAGAAAGCCACGGCUAACUACGUGCCAGCAGCCGCGGUAAUACGUAGGUGGCAAGCGUUGUCCGGAAUUAUUGGGCGUAAAGCGCGCGCAGGCGGUCUCUUAAGUCUGAUGUGAAAGCCCACGGCUCAACCGUGGAGGGUCAUUGGAAACUGGGGGACUUGAGUGCAGAAGAGGAAAGU
This 627-nucleotide ribosomal RNA is filed under the name Bacillus sp. (in: firmicutes). Its description in RNAcentral is "bacterial SSU rRNA". It matches the Rfam family "Bacterial small subunit ribosomal RNA", at positions 51 to 662 of the family's 1533-position model. Lineage: Bacteria; Bacillati; Bacillota; Bacilli; Caryophanales; Bacillaceae. The record is from RNAcentral.